This 71-nucleotide transfer RNA is filed under the name Loxodonta africana (African savanna elephant). It matches the Rfam family "tRNA". Rfam says of the family: Transfer RNA (tRNA) molecules are approximately 80 nucleotides in length. Their secondary structure includes four short double-helical elements and three loops (D, anti-codon, and T loops). Further hydrogen bonds mediate the characteristic L-shaped molecular structure. tRNAs have two regions of fundamental functional importance: the anti-codon, which is responsible for specific mRNA codon recognition, and the 3' end, to which the tRNAs corresponding amino acid is attached (by aminoacyl-tRNA synthetases). tRNAs cope with the degeneracy of the genetic code in two manners: having more than one tRNA (with a specific anti-codon) for a particular amino acid; and 'wobble' base-pairing, i.e. permitting non-standard base-pairing at the 3rd anti-codon position. The record is from Rfam by way of RNAcentral. Lineage: Eukaryota; Metazoa; Chordata; Mammalia; Proboscidea; Elephantidae.
ACAUUAGUGAUUCAGUGGUAGAAUUCUCACCUUCCAUGUGGGAGACUUGGGUUCUAUUCCCAGCCAACGAG